Molecule: long non-coding RNA, 1751 nt
Organism: Chrysemys picta bellii (western painted turtle)
Lineage: Eukaryota; Metazoa; Chordata; Testudines; Emydidae
Source: RefSeq, a predicted model, not a curated record
CCAGUAUCUUUCCAGGUAUCGAAGUUAGGAUGAUGGGUCUAUAAUUCCCCAGGUGGUCUUUGUUCCCCGUUUUUAAAAGGAAAUGAUUACAUCAUGUGUAAGAUGUUAAGCGACUCGUUCAAAGCUCUGAAAUGCUUCAAAAAUACUCUCCGAUGCUUGACAGGCCUUUCCUGAGCUGGUCCACAAAGGCUCUAUCUUCUCCUCAUUUAAAUCCCUCUUGAUGCCCCAAUUCUUCCAGGAUGCCUGCAAGGAACUAGUCUGAUCCAACUCUCAUUGAAGUCAAUGGGAAGACUCGUAUAAUGUCAGUGGAAGUUGGAACAAGCCUCCAGUUCUUUAUCUAUCUGAAUUGAACUGUUCCUCUGUGUGGAGGAAGGAGAUUGAAGUAGGGAAUUGGUGUGAGAGAAAGAUGAGAGCUGAAUUAUGGGGGGGGAAGCCAACCCCAAGAUCAAAAAAACCUAUUAUAUCCUGAUUGCUUUGCUUGUCCAUUGCAACCCUAGCCCCAUCCUCUGCCUGCCUUUUUGUUUUGCUCCUCAGGAUGUGAUGUCUCCAGGGUUGGAACAAAUUUAGCACCCAAAAUUGUGCUACCACAAUCUAAAUAACAAAUUAUUAUAACAGCAGUGGGACUGGUAGGGCUCACCUCACUAAAAAGAGGUUCACAACUUCUCCAUCACAGAUCUGGCAUUAGAGUUUUGUGUUUGUCGCCGGCAAUGGCCUCUGGCAAAAUCCUUGUUGGUGGUUGACGCAUCUAAAUGAGAAUUCCCCCAGGAGCUCAGCACAUCCUUCUCAGGGCACACAUGACUUGCAGGUGUGGUACCUGAUCCAACUGCAUCAGGAAUUUACUUGUGUUCUCUAGCUUCUGAAGAAAGCCUUGCCCCUCCCAAGUGUAUGCAUUACUGCAAACUCCCCUGCGCCCCAUAGUUUUCCUAAAGUAUUAUUCUUCACAUGAACUCUUAGCAAUCCACAUGGCUUCAGUAUUAAUGAAGCCUGUUGUUUCUUCCCUCACCCCCCCCCAGCCAAUGUAGAACUUUGGGCAGAAAGUGAAAUAGCAGCCCAUUGCGCAGCAGGACAGGAAAACAACGACAUGCCUCUGGCUCAGCAAUUGUGCUGAGUUAGCAAUCUCUCCUGCUGGGCAAUUACAAUGCAGAAAGCUUCAAUGCCAGCAGCAUUUGGGGACUACUACUUGUAUAUGUCAAUUGGCUCUUAACUACAGUGCAUAGUUUUUAACUGAAGAUGUCUCAGUAGGACGUCAGGCUGCUUGUCCUUGGAUGUUCACAUUGUCACUCAUGUAAGGUGGGCACUUCCCUACCUACGUGCUGGUUUGAAUGUCCCAGCUGUGGACAUCCUAUUAAAGAUAAUUUAGAAAAGUACAGAAACUAUUUGUACCCUUUUGGUUUAUUUAUGCUGCAUAAAGAGGACCUGAAAGGCCUUAAUACUUCUGGCUUGUCUCUUACAAAAGGAGUUCAGAUCUUAUCUAUGCUGUCUUUCCUGAAAGACCAGGGGUGAAAGUAACUUAAAGGACUUACUGGUACUCUGGAGUCCUUAGGAGGGGGCGGGGCCUCAACCAGAAGAGGCAUGGCCUCUACUGGAAGAGGCGGGGCCUUUAAAUCCCCAGGCACUUUAAAUCACCAUCGGAGGGGGCCCCGUCCUCUGGUGGAGCUUUAAAGGGCCCAGGGCUCCACUGCAGUAGUGGCAGCUGGGAUCCCCUGGCCCUUUAAAUCACCGCCCGAGCCCCCAGCUGCUGCUGCUACCCC